Molecule: ribosomal RNA, 508 nt
Filed under: uncultured bacterium
Lineage: Bacteria
Description: partial 16S ribosomal RNA
Rfam family: Bacterial small subunit ribosomal RNA
Source: RNAcentral
GAUGAACGCUAGCUACAGGCUUAACACAUGCAAGUCGAGGGGAAACGAUAUUGGAAGCUUGCUUCCGAUAGGCGUCGACCGGCGCACGGGUGAGUAACGCGUAUCCAACCUGCCCACCACUUGGGGAUAACCUUGCGAAAGUAAGACUAAUACCCAAUGAUGUCCAUAGAAGACAUCUGAAAUGGAUUAAAGAUUUAUCGGUGAUGGAUGGGGAUGCGUCUGAUUAGCUUGUUGGCGGGGUAACGGCCCACCAAGGCGACGAUCAGCAGGGGGUCUGAGAGGAAGGUCCCCCACAUUGGAACUGAGACACGGUCCAAACUCCUACGGGAGGCAGCAGUGAGGAAUAUUGGUCAAUGGGCGAGAGCCUGAGCCAGCCAAGUAGCGUGCAGGAUGACGGCCCUAUGGGUUGUAAACUGCUUUUAUAAGGGAAUAAAGUGAGCCUCGUGAGGCUUUUUGCAUGUACCUUAUGAAUAAGGACCGGCUAAUUCCGUGCCAGCCGCCGCAGUAA